AGUCAUAUGCUUGUCUCAAAGAUUAAGCCAUGCAUGUCUCAGUACAAGCCACACUAAGGUGAAACCGCGAAAGGCUCAUUAAAUCAGUUAUGGUUCCUUAGAUCGUACCCACAUUUACUUGGAUAACUGUGGUAAUUCUAGAGCUAAUACAUGCAAACAGAGCUCCGACCGGAGACGGGAGGAGUGCUUUUAUUAGAUCAAAACCAAUCGGCGGCGGUGGCGUUCGCGUCUCCGUUCGCCGCUCAACCUGGUGACUCUGAAUAACUUUCCGCUGAUCGCACGGUCUCGCACCGGCGACGCAUCUUUCAAAUGUCUGCCUUAUCAACUGUCGAUGGUAGGUUCUGCGCCUACCAUGGUCGUAACGGGUAACGGGGAAUCAGGGUUCGAUUCCGGAGAGGGAGCCUGAGAAACGGCUACCACAUCCAAGGAAGGCAGCAGGCGCGCAAAUUACCCACUCCCGGCACGGGGAGGUAGUGACGAAAAAUAACGAUACGGGACUCAUCCGAGGCCCCGUAAUCGGAAUGAGUACACUUUAAAUCCUUUAACGAGGACCAAU
Molecule: ribosomal RNA, 556 nt
Filed under: Porhydrus vicinus
Lineage: Eukaryota; Metazoa; Arthropoda; Insecta; Coleoptera; Dytiscidae
Description: SSU rRNA
Rfam family: Eukaryotic small subunit ribosomal RNA
Source: RNAcentral